RNAcentral lists this ribosomal RNA (465 nucleotides) under uncultured Selenomonas sp. RNAcentral describes it as "bacterial SSU rRNA". It matches the Rfam family "Bacterial small subunit ribosomal RNA", at positions 338 to 795 of the family's 1533-position model. Lineage: Bacteria; Bacillati; Bacillota; Negativicutes; Selenomonadales; Selenomonadaceae. The record is from RNAcentral.
CCUACGGGGGGCAGCAGUGGGGAAUCUUCCGCAAUGGGCGCAAGCCUGACGGAGCAACGCCGCGUGAGUGAAGAAGGUCUUCGGAUCGUAAAGCUCUGUUGACGGGGACGAACGUGCGAGAGGUGAAUAAUCUCUUGCAAUGACGGUACCUGUCGAGGAAGCCACGGCUAACUACGUGCCAGCAGCCGCGGUAAUACGUAGGUGGCGAGCGUUGUCCGGAAUCAUUGGGCGUAAAGGGAGCGCAGGCGGGCAAGUAAGUCUUUCUUAAAAGUUCGGGGCUCAACCCCGUGAUGGGAAAGAAACUACAUGGCUUGAGUACAGGAGAGGAAAGCGGAAUUCCCAGUGUAGCGGUGAAAUGCGUAGAUAUUGGGAGGAACACCAGUGGCGAAGGCGGCUUUCUGGACUGCAACUGACGCUGAGGCUCGAAAGCCAGGGGAGCGAACGGGAUUAGAUACCCCUGUAGUC